Molecule: long non-coding RNA, 613 nt
Organism: Teleopsis dalmanni
Lineage: Eukaryota; Metazoa; Arthropoda; Insecta; Diptera; Diopsidae
Exons: 3
Source: RefSeq, a predicted model, not a curated record
ACAAUAUAAUAACAAAAAUAUUAAAACACAUCACAAAACAAUUUGUAGUUCCAGACAUAAAUAAGUAAUAGGAUGUUCAUAAAAUUUUCAUACAACAUUCUUCUAUAAUUUCUAUAAUAUAUAAGAGUAAAAUCUGGUGUGGAAGCGUGUCUGCACCUCUCUCAGCAACGCAUUUAAUACAAACCCGUUAAAUACAAUCAGCAGUCAGGAAACCAUAUUUUGUUCGCAACAAAGUUUCACUAAACUAAUUUUCCACGACAUUUGGAUCAUUUAACAUUAUUUAUGUAAAAUUUGAGUGACCACAAUCUAUAAAUUGACGCCAUAAACUAUAGGAAAUUGGAGCUUAUAGUAUGAAUAUAAAAUCAUUGAAACCGUGAUGCAUUCACUUACAUAGUAUUAGUCUAGUUGAUCUAGACUUAUGCUAGAAAAUACCGAUAAAUUUGUAAUUAACUAAACUAAUUUCAAACUAAUACAUUACACUAUAAGCAUCAACUUUUGUUAUAAGCAAAAUUGAAAUUCGAAUUCCUAUGGAAUAUUGCACUCAAAAUAAUGGUGAUAUUAAUAUUAAAGCACGAAAGGAUAUUAAAUGGAUUAAAUGGACUUUAUAUCUGAA